This is a long non-coding RNA of Amphiprion ocellaris (clown anemonefish), 504 nucleotides long. RefSeq lists it as uncharacterized. The transcript is spliced from 3 exons. The record is from RefSeq and is a predicted model, not a curated record. NCBI's taxonomy places the organism in Eukaryota, Metazoa, Chordata, Actinopteri, Pomacentridae.
GCUGUUCACAUCUGGGAGACUCAGGCGUAAACAAUCGAUCCUGGCCAAAAUCGAACCAACGCCCAGCCAAUCACGUGGCGCUCCUCCGGUCAUGUGACGUAGACGGUUCACCUCACAAGACCGGGGUCAACCACGGCUACCAGCAUGAACGACGGCGCUUCAAUGCACAAUGAGGGACGUCUGCAGAGACUGAGAAAGAGUCUCACCACAUCCUGACAUGAGGAAAAAGACUUUAUUGAAGACUACAAUGAGAAAAACUAUCAGACAGCAGACGGCUGCAUUCAAGUCUGUAGCUGCUGAAUUCAUGGAUGAAUCAUCUGGCACUAGAGAGGAAGACCAUCAAACAUCCACGUCAGCUGAUGGAGGUCCAAGAGUCUCACCAAACAACCAACCUACAGAGUGAAGACCUCAAAUCUGAUUGGACGGCCUCCUAUUCAGCCACAUGUGUGAACAAAUGCCUCUAAGCUGAUUUGUUUUCUAAAAUAAAUCUAGUUUGAGUCCUAA